GUCAUCGUCAGCAUUCAUAACCAGCGCUGAGAGGCGUUGGUGGUGAGAAUCCAGCCCUGGUGCAGCUCCAGGUGACUGCUGCCUUCUCCCAGAGCCUCAGCACACACUGCAUGAACAUCACCAUGCAGGGGCUGCCAUCACUCUGCUGGAUAACCAGCAAUUUAUCACAUUCCCUCCCUGCUCAUCCUCUCUAAUAUACCAUCGUGAUGGUGAAUGUCACUUGCUCAGGAAGGACAAGCCUUCAUCAAAACUGUGCUGGAGCAAUCGAAGAGCAGAUUGGGACCUACCUUGCAGAGAAGAAAAGGGGAUGAGGAAUCUGCUUACACCAUUAUAUUGACCUUCUGCUUUGGGUGCAAUAAAAAUCUGGAGGAGAUCAAACUCUGGCUCAUUUGGCACAGGAAAACCAAGCAACCAUGCAGGACUGGAAACCUCUAG
This 435-nucleotide long non-coding RNA is filed under the name Zonotrichia albicollis (white-throated sparrow). RNAcentral's name for it is "lncRNA (ENSZALG00000002448.1)". Lineage: Eukaryota; Metazoa; Chordata; Aves; Passeriformes; Passerellidae. The record is from RNAcentral.